GAACCAUCUGACUAGUCACAAGUAUGUGACCCAGAUGUAGGAGUCUCAGUCAGAACAAUGAAACUGGAGUUCGCUGGUGUUGAGAUCACCCUUCAUGCCUGACAGCAACACGGAAAACCAAUUCUGAAACGGUUUGGAAUAAGUUAGUGUAGGAGGUAGAGUUUGUUUGGACUGUUUUCAUUUCUAGUUCACACACACAGUUACACAAAAAACAUCAUUUACAUUGAAGACCUUUUGCUUUGUAGAGGCAAGUUACCUUUAUUCACCGGACACACUUUGAAUGUUUACAUGAGGUGAUUGUAUGAGUAGAGUGGUACGUCCACUGACCAAGAAUCAUCCUUAGUUUGGUUGCGCUCAUCGGUUGUUGUUCCUUGACUUAAAUGUGUUCAUUUGUUUACACUAAGGUGCACCUUGUAUUUCAGUUGUGAUGAAAAAAGAAGUUAAGGUGUUCUGAAUAGAAUGUG
Thalassophryne amazonica is the source of this 464-nucleotide long non-coding RNA. RefSeq lists it as uncharacterized. NCBI's taxonomy places the organism in Eukaryota, Metazoa, Chordata, Actinopteri, Batrachoidiformes, Batrachoididae. The transcript has 2 exons. The record is from RefSeq and is a predicted model, not a curated record.